RNAcentral lists this ribosomal RNA (486 nucleotides) under uncultured bacterium. RNAcentral's name for it is "partial 16S ribosomal RNA". It matches the Rfam family "Bacterial small subunit ribosomal RNA", at positions 30 to 507 of the family's 1533-position model. The record is from RNAcentral.
AUUGAACGCUGGCGGCAUGCCUUACACAUGCAAGUCGAACGGCAGCACGGGUGCUUGCACCUGGUGGCGAGUGGCGAACGGGUGAGUAAUACAUCGGAACAUGUCCUGUAGUGGGGGAUAGCCCGGCGAAAGCCGGAUUAAUACCGCAUACGAUCUACGGAUGAAAGCGGGGGACCUUCGGGCCUCGCGCUAUAGGGUUGGCCGAUGGCUGAUUAGCUAGUUGGUGGGGUAAAGGCCUACCAAGGCGACGAUCAGUAGCUGGUCUGAGAGGACGACCAGCCACACUGGAACUGAGACACGGCCCAGACUCCUACGGGAGGCAGCAGUGGGGAAUUUUGGACAAUGGGCGAAAGCCUGAUGCAGCAAUGCCGCGUGUGUGAAGAAGGCCUUCGGGUUGUAAAGCACUUUUGUCCGGAAAGAAAACCUUGGCCCUAAUACGGUCGGGGGAUGACGGUACCGGAAGAAUAAGCACCGGCUAACUACGUG